This 251-nucleotide ribosomal RNA is filed under the name uncultured bacterium. RNAcentral's name for it is "partial 16S ribosomal RNA". It matches the Rfam family "Bacterial small subunit ribosomal RNA", at positions 524 to 776 of the family's 1533-position model. The record is from RNAcentral.
GACGGGGGGGGCAAGUGUUCUUCGGAAUGACUGGGCGUAAAGGGCACGUAGGCGGUGAAUCGGGUUGAAAGUGAAAGUCGCCAAAAACUGGCGGAAUGCUCUCGAAACCAAUUCACUUGAGUGAGACAGAGGAGAGUGGAAUUUCGUGUGUAGGGGUGAAAUCCCGAGAUCUACAAAGGAACGCCAAAAGCGAAGGCAGCUCUCUGGGCCGAUACUGACGCUGAGGAGCGAAAGCGUGGGGAGCGAACAGG